RNAcentral lists this ribosomal RNA (328 nucleotides) under uncultured eukaryote. Its description in RNAcentral is "partial 18S ribosomal RNA". It matches the Rfam family "Eukaryotic small subunit ribosomal RNA", at positions 1470 to 1796 of the family's 1831-position model. The record is from RNAcentral.
CCCUUAGAUGUUCGGGGCCGCACGCGCGCUACACUGAAGGAAUCAGCGCGUCUUUCUCCUUGUCCGAAAGGACUGGGUAACCCGCUGAACCUCCUUCGUGCUAGGGAUUGGGGCUUGUAAUUCUUCCCCAUGAACGAGGAAUUCCUAGUAAGCGCAAGUCAACAGCUUGCGUUGAUUACGUCCCUGCCCUUUGUACACGCCGCCCGUCGCUACUACUGAUUGGAUGUUUAAGCGAGGUUCUCGAACUGCUAGCGACUUAGCUUCGGCGAGGUCGCAGUGUGGGAAGUGAACCUAGCUUUGGUGUCUAGAGGAAGUAAAAGUCGUAACA